Molecule: ribosomal RNA, 253 nt
Filed under: uncultured bacterium
Lineage: Bacteria
Description: partial 16S ribosomal RNA
Rfam family: Bacterial small subunit ribosomal RNA
Source: RNAcentral
UACGGAGGGUGCAAGCGUUAAUCGGAAUUACUGGGCGUAAAGCGCACGCAGGCGGUUUGUUAAGUCGGAUGUGAAAUCCCCGGGCUCAACCUGGGAACUGCAUUUAAAACUGGCUAGCUAGAGUCUCGUAGAGGGUGGUAGAAUUCCAGGUGUAGCGGUGAAAUGCGUAGAGAUCUGGAGGAAUACCGGUGGCGAAGGCGACCCCCUGGACGAAGACUGACGCUCAGGUGCGAAAGCGUGGGGAGCAAACAGG